CCUCACCUGGGCAAGGGGUGGCACUGACCGUAACUGCUCCACCUGUCUGUAAUUAAGGGUCUACCAGCCUCUCUCCAAGUCUCUGGGACUUUCUUCUGACUUUCGGAGUUGUCUUCAGACCUCUCUUAGCUCAGUGACUCCUGCCUUUGGAGGGUGUGUGUGCCCUCUGCCAGCCUCUGCUGGUCCAUGUGAGACUCCUUUCGCCCAGCUUCAGGCAAGUACCUCUGCAGCCCUGCUCCUGGACGCCUCAUGUGGUCACCUGCAGUGGGAAGGACCCUCAAACAAGCAGCUUUCAGCUGCAUUCCAGCAAGACCUCCUGGUGCAGACCAGAAACAUGAGUGAUGGAAGGUGGUGCGGGGCAUGGAUGUGGAUCUGCAGACAGUUUCUGCUUGAGGAGGAGACUGGGGCCACUGUGAGCAGGCAAAGAGCCUCCCUUUCCUCUGCUCUCACCUCUCUUGCCUGGAAAGCAGAGGCUCGGGAGGAGUUAAAAACCAGAGGUCUGCAGUGUCAAAGUACACAUCUGAAUCGCUUCAAACUGAGCCCUUUGGGAGACAAGUUAUGAACUGGCAUCAAGCACUAGAUGGACACAUGCACAUAGAGACUACCCAGCUGCAGCAUAAUUCUUCCAAACUGCUCCAGUAAGACAUAUAGAAUGUUUUACUGGUCAUAGCAAAGAGCUAAACAAAAAUCCACAAAAUUAUAGGCCAAAAUGCGCUAGUUCUUUUCUACUGAAUGAUAAAGUUCAGGGAAUUACAGUGAUAUAUUUAUUGUGCAGUACAGGAGUUGGUGCAGUGUAUGUACUGUCAAAUUGGGCUUUUAUUAAGUCAAAUAUAAGGAAAAACCUAAGGCAGAUGAUUAAUGCAUUGUUGUUUUGGUAAAUUUUCCUUUUUCAUUUAAUAAUGGAAGUGCUGGGGGUGGAUGUGUUUUUUCAGAGGCAGAAACAUGGUCAGGUUUAUUUGCAAUCUAAUUAACAGCAUGGUGUAAAGUAGAGGUUUAACCACAGCUGGCAGCUAAACUCCACACAGCUGCUCCCUCUCCCCCCACAUCAGGAAGGGGAAAGAACCUGAAGGGUUAAAGUGAGAAUCCUGGGUUGAGAUAAAGAGGGUUUAAUGGGUAAAGGAAAGGUGUUGCAUGCAAGAAAAGCAAAACAGAAUUCAGGGAGGUGUUUUUAUCCAUGACUGCAUUGACAUGCUCCAGCUGGAAGUCAUCCCUCCCAUACCCUGGCUCCUUGAUACCGAGUAUUUUGAGCACUGCAUUGGAUGAGGUGGAAGUUCUGUGAAAUGCAUCUUCUUGCAUUGUGUGAUGCAGAUUUAUCCAUUCUGCUGGUCAGAGGAAUUUCCUGGUUUUCUCCUUGCCUUUGACAGCCUCGUUUUGUGAAAAGUGUCAUCUUCUCUUUUAAAUUAUUUUGUUUCAAGCUAAAUAACUCAGUAUGGCAGACAUCUUAACCUAGAAGAUAAGUCACUAUUGAAAUCAGUUAUAUUGGUUUGCCAGCUACCUCAAGCAUUCCAAAAUGGACAUUAUUUGAAGUGAGAAAGCUGAUGUUGCUUUCUAAGAUGUAAAGAUGGGUGGCUACACAAGGACGCAAAUGGGAAAAUACAGCUCCCUCCCCUAAAGGAGAAAUUAGGAGAGAGCAAAAGAAAUUUCUUAAAUGUAUCCAUCAUCUGCAACAAAUAAAUAGCAAUAAAGGUUACCUUAAAAAUGGAGAUUACUAAGAGAGAGUGAUUUCUCUGAAUAUAUUGAUUAGGGAGCUUGGAAAGAAUAGUGGACAGAGGGAAAUAAAAAACCUGAAUUACUUUAAAAAGAGUAAACUGAUUCAUUAAAGGCUUUGAGACAAAAAUUGAGAAUUGAAAGUGAGCUACUGAAUCUAACAUCUAACUCGGUGUCUCAUUUUAAUAAAGUAAUAGGAAUAGAAUUACAAAACCUGCAAAUUCUGAUAGCAUGUCUGUCUAUUACUGGUGAGAGUAUUUUGUCAUGGCUGGCUCAGAGUGCAGAGAAACCCUGUUUCCCCCCCACACCCCCUGAACUCUGUAAUUUUAUGGUGGAAGAAUAAGACUUAUUUUCUAUGAGUCUUCUUUUGUGAAUGUUUCCAAGCUGGAGAUGCUCCUGGUGAAGGGCCAUGGUAAGUUUUGAUGAGGAGCUUUUGUGUGUGCCUGCCCACCUUCCUCUUUAUGAAGAUUUUGUAAUCACUGAAGUUAUUUCUCACAUAAGUUUACUUUCUGUUUCUGUGACAAAUUUGCUUUAAUAAUUCUGGAUUUUCUCUGUUUUGUAUAGCUAUCAUUCUCCAUUUAUUUGAGGGAGGUGCAUCUCUCUCGAGGGGGUAAUACCUUUUUUUUGAAGAGAUAUUUCUUAUGUUUCAGUUAGUUGCCUUUUUUUAUUGUUUGCAGUGGAUCUUUGUGGCUUCUUCUACAGUACAUUGAAAAUUAUUAUAAUUUAUACAAAAACAUUUGUGAAUUUAAAGACAGGUGCAUAGUUUAUGCAAAGCAAUCACAUAAUUUCUUUGAAAUGUGGCACCUGAAUAAGGCAUUAUGAAUGAGAUUGACAGUGGUAGACUGAAUUUGAAGGAGUUCAUUGUGUUUCAAAGUGAAGCUGCUUAUGUGUUUCAUUAUGGGAAUAAUGAAAUUACAUAUUAAUAUUUCUGGUCUUAGCAACUGCAAUAAAAAAUGUCUUUUUCUAUGCUGUGCCAUGGGGGACCCAUGAAUCUAAAUCCACUUGCAAAGGAGAUUGUAUUCACAUAUCCUGCUCUCCAGCUGCACAGAAAAUCCACACACACUCAGCUUGUGCUGCCAUGGAUCUCUGCUUUCUAGGAAAUAUUUCAACCAUUGCCCCAAAAUAUCAGGGAACUUGCCAAGGAAAACUGAAUGUAGAGCAAGGUGGAUAGUGCUGGUAAAUGGAUUUUCCUGUGAAACUUAGUGCUGUGCAGUGUAGAACCCCUGUUGUAAAAAUGGGUAAUAACGUCUAAUGGAAAAGAAAUGCAUUUAAAAAAAAAACAACAACCAAAAAGGACAACCAAGCUAACAAGAAACCAUCCCUGCAGAUACUACUAAUAAGGAACAACCUUUAAAAAAUCCCAAGUUUAACUCACUGGUGUCACAAUGGCUCUUCUUGUUUAGCCCCCUUUCCCCUCCUCAUUUCACCAUCAAGAACAAAAACUUGGGGAAUUACUUUCCCGUCGGGACAAUGUGAUAAGAUACUGCCAUCUACAGGUAACAUAUCUCCUCUUGAAGCUGUACUAUGUGCAAAAAUGUCUUUGGAACUGCUGCUGGUUAUAACCCCAAUAUUCCAGACUCUUUCUUUUGAAUUUGAAGUAUACUUGUUAAAGAGAGUCCAUGGGGAGCACAUGUAGCUGCAGGGUAUGCAGCAAAAUUCCUGUUCUCCUUGCACAGUGUCUGGAUACAGGUAUUUUAGCAGGCUCUGAGAAUUUAAACCAUAUCUGAAAUAUUUAUGCAUGUGAAAAUCUUUGUGCCUGGAAAAAAAUCCCUCUGAAUUCUUGAGGGUUGUCACAACUAGAAAAGCUAAUUGUGUGUUUGGUGUCUGUUCACUGAGGCAUGAGGUUGGUACAGAUUCCUCUGAUCACAACUUCCCUCUCUUGUCCCCCUCUCUGUGCUAAGCUCUUAGGACAAAAACACGGUGUUAUGUUGUGUUGUUUGACUCCUAAGCUUUGAAUAUGACCAAUGAGUUUUAAUAACAGAUUAAAAGGAACCUUCAUAGUGAUACUUCCAUGAUUUCUCAUCAAUUCAUUGAAUGAGCAAAAAAUCAGGAUGUUAGCAGUACUGCUGAAGUUAGCAUUAGCCUAAAGAUUUUUAAAUAGUUAUAUUAUAAUUUCUACGGUUUUUCAAAUGUGGUAAGUUUUAAGGUACUGGAUUGCUCAAAGGAUUUGAGGAAAGAUUUGAAACCAUUAAUUCUGUAUCAGACUUUGUUUCAGGCUUAAUUGAUUGUUAAGGGAUAUUACAGAAUAGUUAUGCUCUAGGAAGUAAUGUGCUAGAAAUAAUCCUCCCUGAAGAAUUGUAUGGUUUGAUGUAUACUGCUGAAGCAGGAAAUUGUGACCUUUUAAUAAAAGAUAAAAAGCCUGGAAAAUGAGUUUAACUUGUAUGGUUCUAUUUUGGAAAUGGAGUAAAGUAUGAGCACAAACUGUUGUGGACUGUAUCUCAGGUGUGAAACAACUUAUGAUGUGGUGGUAUUUCAUAAAUCAGAGGAGGAGGCCUGUAAACUGAGUAGUGAAAGGGGUGAGAUAUUUAAAGAACUGGGUGUCCCAGUUCAAGAAAGCUUUUGAAUUCUUAUAACCAAGCAGGUCCUUGGCUUUAUCCAAAUGUGUUUCUGAACUGCAGCAUGCAUGGAAAAUACCUUUCACUUUGUAUGUAAAACUACUGGAGCAGUAUGGAGAUCAUUGUAAACAUAUGGCAAAGGAUGUCUUAUUGAAUUGUAUCAUCUUGCCUUUCAUGAGGCUGUAUGUCAUAUAAAUGUCACCCUUAAAAGAUAAUAAAAAGCUUAAACAG
Molecule: long non-coding RNA, 4493 nt
Organism: Passer domesticus (house sparrow)
Lineage: Eukaryota; Metazoa; Chordata; Aves; Passeriformes; Passeridae
Exons: 2
Source: RefSeq, a predicted model, not a curated record